Long non-coding RNA from Gopherus flavomarginatus (Mexican gopher tortoise), 3384 nucleotides. RefSeq lists it as uncharacterized. The record is from RefSeq and is a predicted model, not a curated record. NCBI's taxonomy places the organism in Eukaryota, Metazoa, Chordata, Testudines, Testudinidae. The transcript is spliced from 5 exons.
AAUGAAUGCAAAAGAAGCUAAUGAGAGUUUAAGCUAAUCAGCAGCAUAAUAUCUAAUGUUGAAAUUAAGUUAUACUAAGGCAGUUCAUCAGUUGUGUAUGCAAUGAGAACAAAAAAGACUUUAAAUAUUUCAACUUUAUUUUUAGAUUUGUUCUCUUCUUUCCCUUGCCAUCCACUCAGAGGGAUCUAUGCAUCCCUGCUGGAGUCCUGAGGACAUCCAUACUUCUCCCAGCCUCUGAAACCAGGCCCAACACUAUGAAAGCCACUCAGUAUUUAACAGCUUUAACCUGAGGUGGUCACUUGAACUAAGACCAGGCGAAAGGCAGUUGGUGCAACUGAUAAUCAUAGGUAUAUAUAGGUAAGUUAUAGUUUCUGUUCACUUAGUUGUUUUUGGCAUAUUUUGUUCAGCAUACAAGUAUUGAUUCUAUAUAAAACUGUUAGUAUUGGGGGCUCUCUAACCACUUAGCAGAAAUCUCAGAUUGUGAAUAGGAAGUCACUGGAAAAAAAAGAUUUCAAAUAUUUUUAGCUGUCUUAAUAUGAUGUGAUAUUACGGCUGGAAACAAGAAGGAGCCAGCAAACUCUUUUCAAAGCACUAGUGGUUCACAGUAGAAAACUGCUAACAUAAGAAUACCCAUACUGGGUCAGACCAAAAGGUCCAUCUAGCCCAGUAUCCUGUCUUCUGACAGUGGCCAAUACCAGGUGCCCCAGAGGGAAUGAACUGAGCAAGUAAGCAUUAAGUGAUCUGUCCUGUCUCUCAUUCCCAGCUUCUAGCGAACAGAGGCUAGGGACACCAUCCUUGCCCAUCCUGGCUAAUAGCCACUGAUGGACCUAUCCUCCACAAACUUAUCUAGUUCAUUUUUUAACCUUGUUAUAUACUCCUGAGGGCAUUCUGAGCCAAAAAAAUUAAAUAUUCUGCAACAAAGAAAUAAAAUAUUCUGCCUACAAUAUUUUAAAAUUCUGCAUAUUUUAUUUGUCAAAAUAACACAAUAGAAUCACACCAUUUUCAAUUAUUUGCUGACAGGUAUUUUGAAAUAAAUUACCAAAAUAAUUGAAAAUGGUGUGAUUCUAUUGUGUUAUUUUAACAAUUAAAAUAUGCAGAACUUUAAAUUUUUUGGUGCAGAAUUCCCUCAAGAGUACCAGGUGCAAUCUGGGUGCAGGCACCUCGAUGGGGAUAUGGAUGCAGGGGGGGGACCUGGAUGCACAGGGGCUUGGUGCAGGGGGAAUGGGACUCUGCAGGGAAGUCCAGAUGAAGGUGGUUAGGAUUCAGAGGGGAGGGGUGCAGCUGGUUGGGGCGGGCUCCUGACGCAGGAGUGAAGCUUGGCACAGUGGGGUUUGGGGGGCUCAUGAUACGGAGGAGGGCGUGUCCAGGUGCAUGGGUGGGGGGAGGGGUCACAGUACAAGGAGCUGCUUCCCUGUCCGCCCAACCGCUGUGCAUCCGGACCAUCCCGCACACAACCCCCCAGCUGAGCCUCCCCUCCCCCAAGCCCCAUGGUGCAGAGCAUCCUGCAGCCAGAGGAAGGUUCUGGGGCUUGAUCUGACCCAGCCCCGGCUGCUCAGUGCAAGGAAGAGGGAAUGGGACUCAUCUCCGUCCUCCCCCUACCCCCACCCCGCAGCUGGGACUAAUGUCCCUGGGUGGCCAGGGCAUCCCCAGACCACCUCCUCUCAGUGAUUUACCUCUCCCCCCCCCCAGCUACCUGAACAGACGGGUCUGCACUGUGGCAGGUACUCUUUGCUUCCCCACAGAAACCAUUUUCUGCAAGGAAGCCUGUGGAAUCUGCCGGGGGGGGGGGGGGAGGGCAUUUUUCUGCUGCGCCACAGUUGUGCAGAAUUUCCCUGGAGUAUGUUAUAGUCUGGUACAUACAUUUUUCUUUUCCAAUACCCUAUAUUUGACAUAUGUUUAACCUACAGUUUUACAGUAGACCUAAUUCUUGUUUAUUUUUUUCCCCUCACCUUGUCUGUUUCUAGUUCUAAAAACAGUUAUAAAGCCCAGAGGUGCCAGGAGGGAAGGGAGUAGUCCCCCACAGGGGAAAUAUUGUGGAGGUUUCUGCCUCUGCAUAAACUCACCUGGAAGGGUUGAUGCGAGAAGGACGCAAGCGGUGGAGUAACAGCUAUGGGGCCCAAGAUCAGGACCUAGAGAGCCCAAACAGCUGUGGUGGGGAUUUGGAUCAGGCCAGGAAGCACGAAGCAGGAUCCAGAAGGUUGAACAGCAGCCAUAAGGCCCAGAAUUGGGCUGGGGAGCAGAGAAUGAAACCCAGAGAAGCUGGAAUGGGCCAGGAAGCAGGGCAAGUCUGAGCCAUAAGAUUGAGGUCUUCAAUUUCGUUUUGGAUCAUCCUGUUAUGGAAAAUUGGACAACCUAUGGACUAAUUCUGGAAGAACUCUUUGCAACUCUAGAGCUCACCAUCUCUACUAUGAAACUGACCUAAGAACUACAUUCAUGUCUACAUUUCCUCUUAUUCAAGCUCACUAAUGCUUACAGGGACUUUUCAGUCUCCAUACAGCUUUAUAAAACAACUACACAGGAACCCAGCAGUCAGAUACAGACUACUUCCUUCCAGGAGCCAAAGAUGCUUAACACACAACUUUGUUCCAGCCCUCACACCAGAAACUAGGGUGACCAGAUGAGAGGAAAAAAAUACUGGGACACAUGGGGGUGGGGGUGAGGUCACCGGCAGAAGGAAAAAAAGCCAGGUGUUGUGAAAUAUCGGGACAAAUUGCAUCCCAACCAAAGACUGGGACGUGGGACAAAUGCCUAAAUAUUGGGACAUCGGGUCACCCUACCAGAAACCCAGCUGCAAAUUUUUCAAGCCUCCCUACUCCAUCCCGAAGGCUAGCUCAGAUAAGGCGGAGGAAAAAAAAAAGACGCGAGACGAAAUGUUCUCAGAAAUCAUGGAAGUAACCCGCAAUGAAAGAGCUCAUCUGAAUGAAUGGAAGGACGUGGUAUCAAAUUACAGGAAAGAUGCCAGUGAACGUGAGGACAGGAGGGACGAACGUGAGGGGAGGUGGCAGCAGGAAGAUCAGAGGAGGCAUGAUGCAACGCUGGGGCUGCUGCGUGAUCAAACUGACAUCCUCCGACGUCUGGUGGAGCUUCAGGAACCGCAGUGGGGUCACAGAGUGCCACUGCAGCCCCUGUGUAGCCACCCUCACCACUCACCAUGUUCCAUAUCUUCCUCACUCAGACAUGUAAGAAUGCGUGAGGGAAGGCUUAGUGCACCCGCCCACUCCACCCCAGUGGACAGUCCAACCAAAAGGCUGUCAUUACUUUGAAAUAUUUUUAGUGGCCUUUUCCUUCCCUCCUAUCCUCCUCCCAAACCACUCCCGGGAUACUUUGUCAGUUCUCCCCCUCUUUUUAUAAUGACUUUUUAAUAAAGAAUACAUGAUUUUUAAA